GACGAACGCUGGCGGCGCGCUUAACACAUGCAAGUCGAACGGAAAGGCCUGCUUUCCCUUGUGGAUUGCGGGUACUCGAGUGGCGAACGGGUGAGUAACACGUGAGUGAUCCGCCCCCAACUUGGGUAUAAGCCUGGGAAACUGGGUCUAAUUCCCGAUAGGACUGCAGGGUGGUGCCUGUGGUGGAAAACGAUUUUCUAGUGGUUGGGGAUGAGCUCGCGGCCUAUCAGCUUGUUGGUGGGGUAAUGGCCUACCAAGGCGGCGACGGGUAGCCGGCCUGAGAGCGUGGACGGCGACAUUGGGACUGGGAUACGGCCCAGACGCCUACGAGAGGCAGCAGUGGGGAAUAAUGGACAGUGGGCGGAAGCCUGAUGCAGCGACGCCGCGUGGGGGAUGACGGCCUUCGGGUUGUAAACUCCUUUCGACCGCGAGGAAGCCACCUGGUUGGAAGGGUGGUGACGGUAGUGGUAGAAGAAGCACCGGCUAACUACGUG
RNAcentral lists this ribosomal RNA (494 nucleotides) under uncultured bacterium. RNAcentral describes it as "partial 16S ribosomal RNA". It matches the Rfam family "Bacterial small subunit ribosomal RNA", at positions 28 to 507 of the family's 1533-position model. The record is from RNAcentral.